AAAUUUUUGGUUAAGAUAUUAAGGGCAUACGGUGGAUGCCUUGGCACGAGAAGGCUAUGAAGGACGUGACUACCAACGAUACGCUACGGGAAGGUGGAAGUAACCUAGGAUCCGUAGAUUUCCGAAUGGGACAACCCUGCUGGGGUAAUGCUCAGCAAUCCGCAUCUGAAUACAUAGGGUGUGCGAAGCCAACCCAGGGAACUGAAACAUCUAAGUACCUGGUGGAAGAGAAAAUAACAAUGAUUUCCUGAGUAGUGGCGAGCGAAAGGGAAAAAGCCUAAACUUUGCAACAUGUUAAAGGUCGUAACCGUUGUGUUGCAGGUGUUGUGGGACAUUUUCAGACUGAAUUACGAAUAAGUCGGGAAGUAAAAAAUUAUAAUAUUAGUCGAAUUUUCUGGAAAGUUAAACCAUAGAAGGUGAUAGUCCUUUAGACGAAAAUAUUAUAACUUCUUGGAGAAUGCACCCGAGUACCACGAAGUGAGUGGAAUUUUGUGGGAAUCUGCCAGAACCAUCUGGUAAGGCUAAAUACUCUCUCGUGACCGAUAGUGAAUAAGUACCGUGAGGGAAAGGUGAAAAGAACUCCUAACAGGAGAGUGAAAUAGUACCUGAAACCGUAUGCUUACAAGCAGUUGGAGUCCCGCUUGCGGGAUGACAGCGUGCCUUUUGGAUAAUGAGCCAACGAGUUGUUCGUAUGAUGCAAGGUUAAGACUCUUAGAGUCGAAGUCGUAGCGAAAGCGAGUCUGAAAUGGGCGAUUUAGUAUCAUGCGGCAGACGCGAAACUUUGUGAUCUACCCUUGUCCAGGAUGAAGUGAGGGUAAAACCUCAUGGAGGUCCGAACCAGUAUCGGUUGAAAACGAUUUGGAUGAGGUGAGGGUAGGGGUGAAAGGCCAAUCAAACUGAGAAAUAGCUCGUAUUCCUCGAAAUAGCUUUAGGGCUAGCCUCGGAUAAAAGUAUGCAGGAGGUAGAGCACUGAUUGGGCUAGGGCCCUCACAAGGGUACCAAACCCAGACAAACUCCGAAUUCCUGACAUAUGUUCUCCGGGAGUCAGGCAGUGGGGGAUAAGCUUCAUUGCCGAGAGGGGAACAACCCAGACCAUCGACUAAGGUCCCCAAACAGUAGUUAACAGAGAAAGGAUGUUGAGUUGCUUAGACAACUAGGAUGUUGGCUUAGAAGCAGCCAUGCAUUUAAAGAGUGCGUAAUAGCUCACUAGUCAAGCGACUUAGCGUCGACAAUUUGCGGGACUAAAACUACUUACCGAAGUCAUGGAUUUAUAAAAAUGGUAGAGGAACAUUCUAUGGGCGUUGAAGGUGUAUCGCGAGGUAUGCUGGAGCGCAUAGAAGUGCAAAUGUUGGCAUAAGUAACGAUAACUAAGAUGAAAAAUCUUAGCGCCGAAAGUCUAAGGUUUCCUGAGCAAUGUUAAUCAUCUCAGGGUUAGUCGGACCCUAAGCCGAGGCCGAGAGGCGUAGGCGAUGGAAAACAGGUUAAAAUUCCUGUACCUGGUAAAAUUUGUUUGACCAUAAGGAGGGACGCAGAAGUGAAAGAUCAGCCACCUGUCGGAUUAGGUGGUCUAAGUGUGUAGGCUUGAAGAGUAGGCAAAUCCGCUCUUCUUUAAGGCUGAGGCACGAACGGGAGUCCUUUGGACAUAAACUGAUCGUAACCAUGCUGCCUAGAAAAUCUUCGUAUGGGAGAGUUUUAUCAGUCCGUACCGCAAACCGACACAGGUAGACGGGAUGAGUAUUCUAAGGCGCUCGAGUGAGUCGUGGUUAAGGAACUCGGCAAAUUAGCUCCGUAACUUCGGGAAAAGGAGCGCCUCCGGUAAGUGAUACCCCUGCGGGUUGAGCUGAAAGAGGCCGCAGUGAAAAGGCCCAGGCGACUGUUUAACAAAAACACAUGUCUCUGCGAAGUCAAUCAAGACGAUGUAUAGGGACUGACACCUGCCCGGUGCUGGAAGGUUAAGAGGAGAGGUUAGUCGUAAGGCGAAGCUUUGAAUCGAAGCCCCAGUAAACGGCGGCCGUAACUAUAACGGUCCUAAGGUAGCGAAAUUCCUUGUCGGGUAAGUUCCG
RNAcentral lists this ribosomal RNA (2063 nucleotides) under Ignavibacteriae bacterium HGW-Ignavibacteriae-2. RNAcentral describes it as "bacterial LSU rRNA". It matches the Rfam family "Bacterial large subunit ribosomal RNA", at positions 1 to 1985 of the family's 2925-position model. Lineage: Bacteria; Pseudomonadati; Ignavibacteriota. The record is from RNAcentral.